CGCGAAUGGCUCAUUAAAUCAGUUAUGGUUCAUUAGGUGAUUCCAAUCCUACUUGGAUAACUGUGGUAAUUCUAGAGCUAAUACAUGCCAGGAAGCUCCGACCUCACGGGACGAGCGCUUUUAUUAGACCAAGACCAAUCGGGCCUCGUGUCCGUUUCCUUUGGUGACUCUGAAUAACCUUUUGAAGAUCGCAAGGUCUCGAACCGGCGACGCACCUUUCAAAUGUCUGCCUUAUCAACUGUCGAUGGUAGGUCAUGUGCCUACCAUGGUUGUAACGGGUAACGGAGAAUCAGGGUUCGACUCCGGAGAGGGAGCCUGAGAAACGGCUGCCACAUCCAAGGAAGGCAGCAGGCACGCAAAUUACCCACUCCCGGCACGGGGAGGUAGUGACGAAAAAUAACGAUGCGGGACUCUUCCGAGGCCCCGUAAUCGGAAUGAGUACACUUUAAAUCCUUUAACGAGGAUCAAUUGGAGGGCAAGUCUGGUGCCAGCAGCCGCGGUAAUUCCAGCUCCAAUAGCGUAUACUAAAGUUGUUGCGGCUAAAAAGCUCGUAGUUGGAUUUCAGUCGUAGGUCGGUGGUCCACCGCCCGGUGGCUACUGCCUGGCCUAGGCACCUUGCCGGCUCUCCCACGAUUCUCUUCACUGGGUGUCGUGGGUGGCCGGAACGUUUACUUUGAAAAAAUUAGAGUGCUCUAAGCAGGCGCCGCAGCCUGAAUAACACAGCAUGGAAUAAUGGAACAGGACCUUGGGUCUGUUUUGUUGGUCUUACGCCGCCAAGGUAAUGAUUAAUAGGGACGGACGGGGGCAUUCGUAUUGCGACGCUAGAGGUGAAAU
Molecule: ribosomal RNA, 834 nt
Filed under: Phryssonotus novaehollandiae
Lineage: Eukaryota; Metazoa; Arthropoda; Diplopoda; Polyxenida; Synxenidae
Description: SSU rRNA
Rfam family: Eukaryotic small subunit ribosomal RNA
Source: RNAcentral